UCAAAUAAAAAUGUUAAGAAUUUUUUGAAAUUUGGAAAAACUCGUUGUUAAGAAUGUCUAAAUUAUAGAACAAUUUUUUUUAAAAUUUUUUACUGUCCCGUUUUUGAGAAUUUAAUUGUUGAAAUUGCAUGUUUUUAUAUGGGCUCUUAUGGGGAGUGUUAUGUGAAGUGCACUAUUUUGAUAAUAACUUGUGUCAAAAAGUUAAACUUUUUUUAAAAAUCAUACUCUUUUAAAGUUUAAUACUUUUGGAAUAAUUUAAAAAAAUAAUUGAGUAAACCGACUGUCUUGAUUUUUAGAAAUAACAUUAAAACUGGCGUAAAAUUACAGAUUUUCUAACCUCUCUAACAUAAUACACAGAAACGUGGCAACGUCGUAUACACGAAGUAGUAUAAGGAGACUUAACGCCCAUGUAAAGUUCAAAAAAACAUGGCCCCAAAACAAGGCGAAGCCUAUCUCAAGUUUUCCGGUGUUCGACUGUUCCGCGCGACCUCCUCGGGAAAAUUUACAACUAAAUAGUGACGUCUGCUUUUAAAGCACUGUGAAGUGUUUACAUUUGAAUGACAUAAAUAAUAAUUUAAAUAAUUACUUAUUAUUUAAUUAUGGGAGCAAAAUAAGACUAUUUGACAAUAUUAUUAAUUAUUAAAAAGAAAAACAAAGAAUCAUGGAAUAUUCGAUGGAAAAACUUACAUUUGAAGAGUGUAAGAUCAAAUUUAAUAAAUCACAAUUACCUUCUGAUAAGUGGUAUCAUAUGACAAGAAACAAAGAAUUUAUUUCGUUUAUAAAAUUGGAAUAAAUAAAGUCAAUCUUUGACAUUUCUAACGGGCGCUCUUUAAUUUGAAAUUGGUAGCAGGCGAACCACAUAUACCACUUAGUUGUAAAUUUUCCCGAGGAGGUCGCGCUGAACAGUCGGACACCGGAAAACUUGAGAUAGGCUUCGCCUUGUUUUGGGGCCAUGUUUUUCAGCCCGUCAAGUCUCCUUAUACUACUUCGUGGUCGUAUAAUGUAAACAUAUACGAAUGAAAUCUUAUUCAGUGUUACCAACACUGUUUCUAGCAUGCAUAUGGAAUGCGCUGUUGUCACGAUCUCCAUGCUCAUAAAAUUUUUUUACAAAAUUUUUUUUACGUAAUUAAAUAAUUAUUUUUUAAAAUGUUUUUUAAGAAUAAUGAAUUGGAAUUAUUAAAAAUACUAUUUUUUAUGUCUAAUAUAUUAAGUAUUGCAUAUUUCACUUAUAAAAUAUAUAUUAAAACAGUUGGUAUUUGCAGUUUUAAUCCCAUAUAAAAGCAUGUGAAUUCCCCUCUCGCCGCCUGCCCCGAAAAGACAGUCACCAUCCUCCU
Molecule: long non-coding RNA, 1334 nt
Organism: Leptopilina heterotoma
Lineage: Eukaryota; Metazoa; Arthropoda; Insecta; Hymenoptera; Figitidae
Exons: 2
Source: RefSeq, a predicted model, not a curated record